Molecule: ribosomal RNA, 301 nt
Filed under: uncultured bacterium
Lineage: Bacteria
Description: partial 16S ribosomal RNA
Rfam family: Bacterial small subunit ribosomal RNA
Source: RNAcentral
CAGCAGCCGCGGUAAUACAGAGGGUGCGAGCGUUAAUCGGAAUUACUGGGCGUAAAGCGCACGCAGGCGGUCUGUCAAGUCGGAUGUGAAAUCCCCGGGCUCAACCUGGGAACUGCAUUCGAAACUGGCAGGCUAGAGUCUUGUAGAGGGGGGUAGAAUUCCAGGUGUAGCGGUGAAAUGCGUAGAGAUCUGGAGGAAUACCGGUGGCGAAGGCGGCCCCCUGGACAAAGACUGACGCUCAGGUGCGAAAGCGUGGGGAGCAAACAGGAUUAGAUACCCGCGUAGUCCCUGUCUCUUAUAC